This 671-nucleotide ribosomal RNA is filed under the name Cystastrum externum. RNAcentral describes it as "LSU rRNA". It matches the Rfam family "Eukaryotic large subunit ribosomal RNA", at positions 40 to 698 of the family's 3401-position model. The record is from RNAcentral. Lineage: Eukaryota; Fungi; Basidiomycota; Cystobasidiomycetes; Cystobasidiales; Cystobasidiaceae.
AUAUCAAUAAGCGGAGGAAAAGAAACUAACAAGGAUUCCCCUAGUAACGGCGAGUGAAGUGGGAAAAGCUCAACUUUGAAAUCUGGCACCUUCGGUGUCCGAAUUGUAGUCUCUAGAAGUGUUUUCCGUGCUGGCCCAUGUGUGAGUCUGUUGGAACACAGCGUCAUAGAGGGUGACAACCCCGUUCAUAACAUGGACCCCAGUGCUUUGUGAUACACUCUCGACGAGUCGAGUUGUUUGGGAAUGCAGCUCAAAUUGGGUGGUAAAUUCCAUCUAAAGCUAAAUAUUGGCGAGAGACCGAUAGCAAACAAGUACCGUGAGGGAAAGAUGAAAAGCACUUUGGAAAGAGAGUUAACAGUACGUGAAAUUGCUAAAAGGGAAACGAUUGAAGUCAGACGUGCGUGGUGCGGUUCAGCUCUGGUUCGCCAGAGUGUAUUCCGUGCCUUUGCAGGCCAACAUCGGUUUCACGAGGCGGAUAAAGGUUUGAGAAAUGUGGCACCUUCGGGUGUGUUAUAGUCUCUUGCUGAAUACGCCUCGAGGGACCGAGGAACGCAGCGCGCCGCAAGGCAAAGCCUCUGGGCUUUUCGCGCUUAGGAUGUUGGUGAAAUGGCUUUAAACGACCCGUCUUGAAACACGGACCAAGGAGUCUAACAUGCUUGCGAGUGUUGGGG